UCUGCGAACGGACACGCCGGUCCUUCGGCCGUGCUUUGCACGGACAAGGUCAUUCCUACCCGUCUGCGUACGGACACGCCGGUCCUUCGGCCGUGCUUUGCACGGACAAGGUCAUUCCUACCCGUCUGCGAACGGACACUACCUACACAUACCUGCACCAAUAAACAGAGGAACCUCAA
Pecten maximus is the source of this 179-nucleotide long non-coding RNA. RefSeq lists it as uncharacterized. The transcript has 2 exons. The record is from RefSeq and is a predicted model, not a curated record. NCBI's taxonomy places the organism in Eukaryota, Metazoa, Mollusca, Bivalvia, Pectinida, Pectinidae.